Molecule: long non-coding RNA, 1925 nt
Filed under: Bos indicus x Bos taurus (hybrid cattle)
Lineage: Eukaryota; Metazoa; Chordata; Mammalia; Artiodactyla; Bovidae
Description: lncRNA (ENSBIXG00005009778.1)
Source: RNAcentral
GAUUUCUCUACAAGAAGAAAGACAAAUCAUAGAAAUUGGCAGGCUGCAUGGUGAUCCAGUUGAGAAAAGAAUGUGACUGCACCAUACUUCUGCUAAGAGUCUGUGAGUAGCUCUAAAAUUCAAACAAGAAAAAGCAGCUCAUUUCAAAGACUUUAAAAGGCAACAGAAUAAUUGCAUGAUAUUUCUUAGGGUCAGUGUAGAUUAACAUUAGUAUGUCAUAUUUUCCCAGUUAAAUCUGCAGAGCCACUUUAUUGUAAUUGUCAUCAAUGACUCUAAGGCACUGUAACAUUUUCAAUCAUAAAAGGGAUUAAAGCAGCAAUUUUUACUCUGUUUGCUAAAGUAGGAAAUCUAUUAGAAAAUAUUAGAAAGAUUAUCAGCUACUAGGUUUGAAACAGAAAGGGAUUUCAUUUGAGUCCCUCUGAAGUCUUCAUUAUUUAGAAGUUCUUGUUCCUCUAACUUUAGAAAAUCACUGCCUUAACUUUCCAUUUUGUUUAAGUCUAGGUAUUGCUACUUCUAAAAUGAAUUUCAGUAGCUAAAGGCUUAAUCUAUUUAGUAAUUACUGGAACCAUUUCCUGAAAUUCUGAAAAAAUUAAAAGUUUCAAAAUAAGAGUCUUGUGGAUUUAAUCACCUUUCUGCUCCCAAAUUAAUUAUACAUGUAGUCAGGAUCAAAUGAUUGUGUAUAUACUGUAUGUAUUUUAUUUGUUUGUUUUUACCAUUAUCAGUGCUAAUUCACUCAACAAGGGAUAUCCCAAAUGUGUGGAAAAAGAGCCAGGCAUCCCAUUCUAGAUUUGAUGUGGAUGACAGGUUUGACAGGAAGAAUAUGAUUUACAGAUUGAAGAAUAGGAUAUCAAAUUUGUUGAGAGAAGUCUAUUGGCAUUUCACUUCACUUGUCAGGCUGCAUAUAAAGGCAAAGAUUGGAGAUCUACAAGUGAAAAGAAAUAUUUCAACAGACAAUGCCUGGUACUUUGAAUCUGAUCACUUUACAAACAAGCAGAUGCUUUCUCUAUUGUACGGAUGACCUCAUCAGGGAAAGUGGAUUAAGCUCUGGAUCACUCUACUCAGAGUCAUCCUCCAGCACUUCUGAAAUCACAGGCCUAUUCUUCUGCUCUACUCUUCCCUUAAAAAAACAAGGACAAUUCUAAAUAACGUUCAUCUCAUUAAUUAAAAAAAACAAAUAGGUAAGUAUUUAUACCCAUAGUUAAAUGUAAAUAAUGUUUCAUUAAGUAUGAAUCAUUAAGUUGCUUUCACAAUGAUUUUAGAGCAAACUGUAUUUGGGGCAGACAUUAUGCUAGAAAUUCUUUCAUGGCUUAUUUAAUUCUCACAAUAUUCUAGAACUGCUACCCCCUUUUUAAACAUAAGAUAAGCACUGGUUAGAAAGAUAACAUAACUUGCUAAAGAUCAACAGUAAAAAAAUCUAUUUACAGCUAAUCAAAAUUGGCUUUAACUGAAACAAGGUAGGUUUUUGUAUUACAAAGAAGCUAAAGACGUCAUAUGACAUACAGUUGUGUUUCAUUAUCAGUCAUUAACUCCACCGUCUUCCAGAUUAUCUGGCAAAAUAUGCCAUUUAAAAGAUAGGAGCCCACUUUUCCAGAAUGACCUGUCUUUUCUAUUUUGUUCUUGUUGAUCACCUAACAAAAUUAAAGAAGAAUGUACCUUGUCUCACAACAUAUUUUAAAACAAUAUCUUUCACUGUUGUUUUUAAUUUUUUUUUCUUUUCUUUUUUUGCAGAACUCUCUUCCUUAAACAUCUAUUAAAAAAAAUUAGCAUUUAACAGAUGAAGGACUUCACUGGUGGUCCAGUGGUUAAGAUUCUGUGCUUCCACUGCAGGGAGCACAGGUAUGAUCCCUGAUUGGGGAACUGAAAUCCCACAUGCCAUAAGACAUGGCCAAAAAUAAAUAAGUAAAAUAAUAAAAUAAAUGAAAACA